GGAAGGAUCUUGUCGAUACCUGCGAGGCAGACCGCGAACCCGUGUUUAACGAAUCGUCCGGGCGCGGCGGCGCGGCGGGGGCGCGCCCCCCGCCGGGCCGCCGGCCCCGGCACCCACCUCCCCCCUCCCGCCCCGUCCGCGGUGCGCCGGGUCGGGGAGGCGUGGCGUCUCGCGUGCAUACGAUGUCAAAACGACUCUCGGCAACGGAUAUCUCGGCUCUCGCAUCGAUGAAGAACGUAGCGAAAUGCGAUACUUGGUGUGAAUUGCAGAAUCCCGUGAACCAUCGAGUCUUUGAACGCAAGUUGCGCCCGAAGCCNUCCGGCCGAGGGCACCCCUGCCUGGGCGUNNCGCNUCGCGUCGCCCCCCUCCCCUCGGGGGGGCGGACAUUGGCCUCCCGUGCGCCCCGGCGCGCGGCCGGCCCAAAUGCGAUCCCCCGGCGACGCGCGUCGCGACCAGUGGUGGUUGAACGCUCAGCUCGCGCACUGUCCGUCGCGCUCCGCGUCGUCGUCCGGACGGGCAUCACGAACGAUCCUCGCGGCGCCUCCGGCGCCUCCGACCGCGACCCCAGGUCAGGCGGGAUUACCCG
RNAcentral lists this ribosomal RNA (586 nucleotides) under Acanthopsis hoffmannseggiana. Its description in RNAcentral is "eukaryotic LSU rRNA". The stretch from base 193 to 348 matches the Rfam family "5.8S ribosomal RNA". The record is from RNAcentral. Lineage: Eukaryota; Viridiplantae; Streptophyta; Magnoliopsida; Lamiales; Acanthaceae.